GACGAACGCUGGCGGCGUGCUUAACACAUGCAAGUCGAACGGAAAGGCCCUGCUUUUGUGGGGUGCUCGAGUGGCGAACGGGUGAGUAACACGUGAGUAACCUGCCCUUGACUUUGGGAUAACUUCAGGAAACUGGGGCUAAUACCGGAUAGGAGCUCCUGCUGCAUGGUGGGGGUUGGAAAGUUUCGGCGGUUGGGGAUGGACUCGCGGCUUAUCAGCUUGUUGGUGGGGUAGUGGCUUACCAAGGCUUUGACGGGUAGCCGGCCUGAGAGGGUGACCGGCCACAUUUGGGACGGGGUACCGCCCCGACCCCUUCCGGAGGCAGCAGUGGGGAAUAUUGCACAAUGGGCGGAAGCCUGAUGCAGCAACGCCGCGUGCGGGAUGACGGCCUUCGGGUUGUAAACCGCUUUCGCCUGUGACGAAGCGUGAGUGACGGUAAUGGGUAAAGAAGCACCGGCUAACUACGUG
This 468-nucleotide ribosomal RNA is filed under the name uncultured bacterium. RNAcentral's name for it is "partial 16S ribosomal RNA". It matches the Rfam family "Bacterial small subunit ribosomal RNA", at positions 28 to 507 of the family's 1533-position model. The record is from RNAcentral.